AGCAGCCGCGGUAAUUCCAGCUCCAAUAGCGUAUAUUAAAGUUGUUGCAGUUAAAAAGCUCGUAGUUGAAUUUCGGGAUUUGUCAGUUGGUCGGGCUUCACUGUCCGUAUUGACUUGAUGGAUUCUUACCUUCUGAAUAACCAGCAUGCUAUUAAGUUAGUGCGUUGGGGAAGCAGAUCUAUUACCUUGAAAAAAUUAGAGUGCUUAAAGCGAGCUAGUGCUUGAAUAGAUUAGCAUGGAAUAAUAAAAUAGGACGGCAUGGUUCUAUCUUGUUGGUUUCUAGGAUCACCGUAAUGAUUAAUAGGGAUAGUUGGGGGCAUUAGUAUUCAAUUGUCAGAGGUGAAAUUCUUGGAUUUAUUGAAGACUAACUUCUGCGAAAGCAUUUGCCAAGGAUGUUUUCAUUAAUCAAGAACGAAAGUUAGGGGAUCGAAGACGAUCAGAUACCGUCGUAGUCUUAACCAUAAACUAUGCCGACUAGGAAUCGGACGAUGUUAAUUUUAUAAUGACUCGUUCGGCACCU
Molecule: ribosomal RNA, 520 nt
Filed under: uncultured Acaulospora
Lineage: Eukaryota; Fungi; Glomeromycota; Glomeromycetes; Diversisporales; Acaulosporaceae
Description: SSU rRNA
Rfam family: Eukaryotic small subunit ribosomal RNA
Source: RNAcentral